UNCUGUUUUUAAGGAGAGUCACCUAGGC
RNAcentral lists this non-coding RNA (28 nucleotides) under Mus musculus (house mouse). Lineage: Eukaryota; Metazoa; Chordata; Mammalia; Rodentia; Muridae. The record is from RNAcentral.